This 1143-nucleotide ribosomal RNA is filed under the name Triticum aestivum (bread wheat). RNAcentral's name for it is "partial small subunit ribosomal RNA". The record is from RNAcentral. Lineage: Eukaryota; Viridiplantae; Streptophyta; Magnoliopsida; Poales; Poaceae.
AUGCUCCGCCUUCGCCAAAGCCUUCUCUCCCAGAUCCUCUUGUCUCCCUCCACCUGUCCCAUCUCCCGCCUCCGCCGCCUCAUUUCCGCUGCCGUGCCCACCGUCUCUCCGAACCCUAGCUUCGCCGUGGAGGACUACCUCAUCUCCAUAUGCGGCCUCACCCGACCCCAGGCCCUCAAGGCCUCCGCCAAGCUCUCCCACCUCAACUCCCCUUCCAACCCCGACGCCGUCCUCGCCUUCCUCCCUGGCCUCGGCCUUUUCGGCGCCGACGUCGCCGCCCUCGUUGCCAAGGACCCGCAGCUUCUCUGCACCAGAGUGGAAACAACCUUGGCCCCUGCCGUCAUCGAGCUCACCGGCGUCGGCCUCUCGCGUUUUGAGAUAGCACCCCUUGUCUCGCUUACCAGUCAGUACUUCCGCCGUAGAUCCGUCGCCUCGAGGCUGCUCUACUUCCUGUCCUUAUUUGGCUCCCACGAGAACCUUCUUCGGGUACUCAAGUACCCGAGUCUCCUCGGAUGCGACCUCGACAAGGUUGUCAAGCCCAAUGUCUCCUUCCUGCGGGAGUCUGGGCUAGGUGAUUGCGACAUUACCAAGCUGUGCAUACGUGUGCCAUGCAUGCUCAGCAAUAACCCGGAGCGUGUCCGGGCAAUAGUGGCGUGCGCAGAAGGAAUCGGUGUGCCCCGUCGAUCUGGGAUGCUCAUGAAAGCGCUACAAGUUGUUGCUAUCCUCAGCCAGGAGAAAAUCACCGCCGAAGUUGAGCACUUGAAGAAAACAUUCAGGUGGUCAGAUGACGAGGUGGGCAUUGCUGUUUCUAAGGCACCAACUGUGCUGAUGAAGAGUAAGGAAUCGCUGCACCACAGGUCCGAGUUCCUCAUCUCCAAGGUGGGGCUGGAACCGGCAUACAUUGCUUGUCGUCCGGCAAUACUCACAUACAGCUUGGAGGGCCGGCUCAAACCCCGGUACUACGUUGUCAAAUUUCUCAAGGAAAAUGGAUUGCUAGAUCACAACCGGGACUACUAUGCUGCAGUCAUGAUCAGCGAGAAGGCAUUCGUCGACAAGUUCGUACGCCCUCAUAAGCAUGCUGCACCGCACCUCGCUGAUGACUAUGCAAAAGCUUGCAGAGGGGAGGUUCCAGCUAGAGCCUAG